Molecule: long non-coding RNA, 1051 nt
Filed under: Mytilus galloprovincialis (Mediterranean mussel)
Lineage: Eukaryota; Metazoa; Mollusca; Bivalvia; Mytilida; Mytilidae
Source: RNAcentral
AUGUAUACACAAUAGAUUCAAAAUUGAGCUUAACCAUGUAUUGUAUAAAAAGGAAAUGUACAGCAUGUGAAAUAUAGGUUCCACAACUGCAACAAGUGUAUUAUGAUAUUUCUCCACUAGAGACAGUUAAAUUUUAAUAUUUAAAGCACGAAGGCUUGCCAAGCUUUUUAAAUAAUUAAAAUUUAACUGUUGAGAGUGGAGAAAUAUCGUAAUACACGAGUUACAGUUGUGGAAUUUGUUUCUCUCAUGAUUUUUAUCCUUCCUUUUCAAAGAUUUGAGGAAAAUUGUGUACUUUUGAUGUGACGUCAUCAAACAUGGUCACCUUUUUUCAUGACGUCACAAUAAGAAAAUUCAAAAGAAAACAAGAAAAUUUUAAUAACGUCACAAUUAAAUUUCAACCAAUCAUUUGCUGAGAACAGAUUUUUCACUAGUGAGGAGAAAUAUUUUUCUCACACCGGUCAGGAAAUGUGAAAAUAGCACCAAAAUUAGAGAAACAAAAAUUGUACCCAGAUUUAAAACUUCUUAGGAUUAUACAUGAUAAAUAAAAUGUAUAAAUUAUGGAUUUCUAAUCCGUUAAUCAUACAAUAAAAUAUCAAAAUUGUAAACAGAAAAAACAAAACAAAAACAAAUACAAAGUUGUUAUAUAAAAUAUAUAGACCUUAUUGCUAUUUGGGUAUCUACUACACUUGACCAGAGAAUGUACGAAUAUUGACUUCAAACAACAAUCACUUUUCCUUGCCUGGCUUUGGCUUCACUUUUUGUUCUUUUUAAAUCUAUCAUCUUCCAUUUUUGAAUAAGAAUUGAAUUUCCAAAUAUAUUUGCCUCUAGCAUUAAUUCUCAGAAUGCUCAUUUGGUGCAGUAAAAUGGAUUCUGUUAAUGUUAUUUCCUUUGAGGCGUCAGAUAUUUUCUAACAUGAGGUCAUCAUUCUAAAUAUAUGUGGUGGACAAAUAGGAAUAAGGUGUAUUUCAAUACAUGUGUAUUUGUAGAGUAAAGUUUAUAAAAAUAGAAUUAGUGUGACAACUCAAUCAUUAAAUAGUUCUAAAUAAAUUCA